Molecule: transfer RNA, 74 nt
Filed under: Candidatus Latescibacterota bacterium
Lineage: Bacteria; Pseudomonadati; Candidatus Latescibacterota
Description: tRNA-Met
Rfam family: tRNA
About the family: Transfer RNA (tRNA) molecules are approximately 80 nucleotides in length. Their secondary structure includes four short double-helical elements and three loops (D, anti-codon, and T loops). Further hydrogen bonds mediate the characteristic L-shaped molecular structure. tRNAs have two regions of fundamental functional importance: the anti-codon, which is responsible for specific mRNA codon recognition, and the 3' end, to which the tRNAs corresponding amino acid is attached (by aminoacyl-tRNA synthetases). tRNAs cope with the degeneracy of the genetic code in two manners: having more than one tRNA (with a specific anti-codon) for a particular amino acid; and 'wobble' base-pairing, i.e. permitting non-standard base-pairing at the 3rd anti-codon position.
Source: RNAcentral
GGGCCCAUAGCUCAGUUGGUCAGAGCGGGGGACUCAUAAUCCCUAGGUCCCAGGUUCGAGUCCUGGUGGGCCCA